This 253-nucleotide ribosomal RNA is filed under the name uncultured bacterium. Its description in RNAcentral is "partial 16S ribosomal RNA". It matches the Rfam family "Bacterial small subunit ribosomal RNA", at positions 524 to 776 of the family's 1533-position model. The record is from RNAcentral.
GACGAACCGUGCGAACGUUAUUCGGAAUUACUGGGCGUAAAGGGCGCGUAGGCGGCCCUGUCAGUCGGGUGUGAAAGCCCGGGGCUCAACCCCGGAACGGCACCCGAGACGGCAGGGCUGGAGACCGGGAGAGGAGGGUGGAAUAGCCAGUGUAGAGGUGAAAUUCGUAGAUAUUGGCUGGAACACCGGUGGCGAAAGCGGCUCUCUGGCCCGGUUCUGACGCUGAGGCGCGAAAGCGUGGGGAGCAAACAGG